Peromyscus eremicus (cactus mouse) is the source of this 1228-nucleotide long non-coding RNA. RefSeq lists it as uncharacterized. The record is from RefSeq and is a predicted model, not a curated record. The transcript is spliced from 6 exons. Lineage: Eukaryota; Metazoa; Chordata; Mammalia; Rodentia; Cricetidae.
GAUCCAGAGGUCAUGGAAUUGCAAUAAAGCACUGUCUACUUUAUAUGACAGCCCUGCUGCUUUUAGGAACUCUGGGAUGAAGCCAUGCUAGUCCUUCUAGCAUGGAAGGGAAAGGAGCUCAGUGGCCCCUCCCCCAACUGAGAAGCUGUUGACAGUUGGUGGCUUCUAGAAGAGAGUCAGUUUUCCUUAAUGUGACCAUGCAAUGGAAAUGUGAACUACUGCCCUGUGUAUCUUCAUGUGGCCUUUGAAGAUGUUUCAUCAUCUUUGGGGAAAGGACAGAGUGUUACAUUUCAGCACUAGUGUGUGCUAGUGACGCUGUAUUUGUUCAGCAAAAGCAGAAAGACAACACCACAGUGUUCUAAUAAGCCAUCCAUAUGCCCUGUCUGAUGAGAUUUACAAAAUUACAAAUAGAGGCCACUCUUCCUUGUAGAAUCAAUAUAGUGACUGAAAAAUAUAGAAUGAUGACGGCAUGUUUUCAUUAUUGGCAGAUGUUUACAGAAAAUGCUAAGAUUUAAACCUCCCGUAGGCUGCGCCUGUUCAGUGAUGCCCGCAUGUGUGUUCUCAGGUCUGAAUACCAGGUACUGGAUAACCAGAGACUCCAACAAACGGCAAAGAUACAAACCAUGGACAGAGGUGCACCGAUCUUCAGGAGGAGGUCUGAGCAUACAGAUAUGUGCUGUAUACAUGGAGCUCCCUAAACAUCCUGUUUGCAGAUGACCACUUGCUCCCAGAUGCAGAAUCCCCCAACAAAAAGGAAUCAUCUUCCCAGAAAGUUCUCCAGAAAAGACCAAGGGAAACUCACUGACCUGGCUUGAGUCGAAUGGUUUGCCACAACCAAUCAGACCUUAAUACUGAUGGCUUCAAGGAAGAGGAAAACAGCUUACACACAACAAGGGCAGCUGCACAUAAAAUAUGUGUAGUAGAUUCCUCAUGAAUGAACUUCCGGUAGAAGAGGAAAGGGGGAAAAUACAGGACAGGAAGAGAGAAGAUGCUCAUGCCAUCAUUCCCAUCAGGGCAUGCAGUGGAAGGAAUACUGGCCCUGGCUCUAUUUUUUGGAUAACGAAGACAGCUAAUUCCUAAAUGAGGGGAAAACAGAGAUGCUAUGCCAUUUUCAUUAUAAAUCAGAAACUUUUCUUCUUUCUCAACCCAAUGGAAAUCACCGACAACCUAUUACUUGACUCAUAAGAGUACUAUAUUAAUAUAUUUAAUAGAAUUAUUUUCAAAUUCA